UACGGGGGGUGCGAGCGUUGUCCGGAAUCACUGGGCGUAAAGGGCGCGUAGGUGGCCUGUGGAAGUCUGCGGUGAAAGCCCGGCGCUCAACGCCGGGUCGGCCGUGGAUACUCUCGGGCUCGAGCUUACUAGAGGCAGAUGGAAUUCCGGGUGUAGCGGUGGAAUGCGUAGAGAUCCGGAAGAACACCGGUGGCGAAGGCGGCUCUCUGGGCCUGUCCUGACGCUCAUGCGCGAAAGCUAGGGGAGCAAACAGG
This 254-nucleotide ribosomal RNA is filed under the name uncultured bacterium. RNAcentral describes it as "partial 16S ribosomal RNA". It matches the Rfam family "Bacterial small subunit ribosomal RNA", at positions 524 to 776 of the family's 1533-position model. The record is from RNAcentral.